RNAcentral lists this ribosomal RNA (253 nucleotides) under uncultured bacterium. RNAcentral's name for it is "partial 16S ribosomal RNA". It matches the Rfam family "Bacterial small subunit ribosomal RNA", at positions 524 to 776 of the family's 1533-position model. The record is from RNAcentral.
UACGUAGGGUGCGAGCGUUGUCCGGAAUCAUUGGGCGUAAAGAGCGUGUAGGCGGCCCGGUAAGUCCGCUGUAAAAGUCAAAGGCUCAACCUUUGAAUGUCAGUGGAUACUGCCGGGCUAGAGUCCGGAAGAGGCGAGUGGAAUUCCUGGUGUAGCGGUGAAAUGCGUAGAUAUCAAGAGGAACACCUGAGGUGAAGACGGGUUGCUGGGCCAACACUGACGCUGAGGCGCGAAAGCCAGGGGAGCAAACGGG